AGCCCUCAGCGUACAUGCCAGCUAAUUACAGAUGCAGGAGCAAACCCCUGGCCCAUACAUCAAUGGAGUUUCGCUCUUGUUGCCCAGGCUGGAGAGCAACGGCACAAUCUCAGCUCACCGCAACCUCCGCCUCCCGAGUUCAAGCAAUUCUCCUGCCUCAGCCUCCUGAGUAGCUGGAAUUACAGGAUUUUGGAAGCAUUGCCUUCUACAGAAUCCACAGUAGUCCGAAGUUCUUCUACGGUUUUUGUCAAACUUUGAUUUUCCAUCUCUAGCUUCAAUAAUCUACUUGAUGUCAACUCAUUCACCUCAUGGCCCAGGGAUUUCUGCGGUGCUAUAAUAUUGAAAAAUACACCAUUGUAUUUACUCUGUACUGUUUUUACUAUGUUUACUCUUUACUAUUUAAAAAGUUGAGUGUAUAUGCAUUGCAUCAUCUGAUCUUUAACUUUAUUAAAAAUUCAAUGGGGUUAUGUAAGAUAAACAAGAUAAGAGAGGUAAAUCUUUUUUUUCCUUUUCUUUUUUUCUUUUUUUAAAGAGACGGGGUGUCUCUCUGUCAUCCAGGUUGGAGUGCAGUGAUGUGUUCCUAGCUCACUGCAGCCUCAAACUCCUGGUCUGAAGGGAUCCUCCCACCUCAGUCUCCCAAGCAGCCGGGACUACAGGUACAGCCAGCUAGUUUUUUUAUUUUUUAGUAAAGACUGGGUCUCUGUUACUUAGGCUGGUCUCGAACUCCUGAGCUCAAGCAAUCCUCCUGCCUUGGCCUCCCAAAGUGCUGGGAUUACCGGCAUGAGCCGCUGCACCCAGCCAAGAGAUACGUUUAACUUUUAAUGCAUCCACAGCAUUCUAGUUAAAAAAAGCAUAAAAUUUAGAUUGAAGAAAUUGGAGUUCAAGCAGACCCAUUAAAUAUUUUGCU
RNAcentral lists this non-coding RNA (907 nucleotides) under Pongo abelii (Sumatran orangutan). Lineage: Eukaryota; Metazoa; Chordata; Mammalia; Primates; Hominidae. The record is from RNAcentral.